RNAcentral lists this ribosomal RNA (468 nucleotides) under uncultured bacterium. Its description in RNAcentral is "partial 16S ribosomal RNA". It matches the Rfam family "Bacterial small subunit ribosomal RNA", at positions 28 to 507 of the family's 1533-position model. The record is from RNAcentral.
GACGAACGCUGGCGGCGUGCUUAACACAUGCAAGUCGAACGGAAAGGCCCUGCUUUUGUGGGGUGCUCGAGUGGCGAACGGGUGAGUAACACGUGAGUAACCUGCCCUUGACUUUGGGAUAACUUCAGGAAACUGGGGCUAAUACCGGAUAGGAGCUCCUGCUGCAUGGUGGGGGUUGGAAAGUUUCGGCGGUUGGGGAUGGACUCGCGGCUUAUCAGCUUGUUGGUGGGGUAGUGGCUUACCAAGGCUUUGACGGGUAGCCGGCCUGAGAGGGUGACCGGCCACAUUGGGACUGAGAUACGGCCCAGACUCCUACGGGAGGCAGCAGUGGGGAAUAUUGCACAAUGGGCGGAAGCCUGAUGCAGCAACGCCGCGUGCGGGAUGACGGCCUUCGGGUUGUAAACCGCUUUCGCUUGUGACGAAGCGUGAGUGACGGUAAUGGGUAAAGAAGCACCGACUAACUACGUG